Molecule: long non-coding RNA, 613 nt
Organism: Solanum tuberosum (potato)
Lineage: Eukaryota; Viridiplantae; Streptophyta; Magnoliopsida; Solanales; Solanaceae
Exons: 2
Source: RefSeq, a predicted model, not a curated record
ACUAAAAGCCUCUAACUACUGGAUCAAGCGCACUGGUAAUGGACUGACAGUAAGAUUUUCCCCUCUAUUUGUUAGUAUAACUUAUACAUUCAUUAUACAUAGUUUGUUUUUUAUUUACCAAUUAAUUCCUUUUAAGCUUCCUAUUUAUUUUGCUUUCUUUUGAUAAGAUUCUCAGGUUGAGGUUUGAUGCUAUCUCUGUUAUGAUAGAAACGUGCAAAUGCAAUUCCAUAUAUAAAUAAGCUGGUGACCUUUUUUUUCAAAAGAUAUACCAAAAUACUUUGUCAUGUAAGGCUCAACUAUCCAAAGAAAGAGGGACAUCAAAAGAAAAGGAAAAAAAAAGAUCUGCUUGAAUUUGAAGGUUAAUGGGAACCACCAAUAUUUGUGCAAUGAUAUGAUUGUAUAUAUCUUGAAAUCAAAUAGCUUAAGCAAUAGGAUGGAACAUAUCAUACUUGAUAGUACUUCCUCUUAGAAUUGCUCAGACUGUUUCAAAACUUAGCUAAAGUUUUCUCAGUAGUGUUAUAAUAAUUUUUGAUACAUUGAACUCACAAAGUGUAGUGGAACUUCAUUAUUAGUUUUAAUAUCUAAAUCAAGGAUAUAUUUAAUUGAUACUGAA